Molecule: long non-coding RNA, 967 nt
Organism: Oryzias melastigma (Indian medaka)
Lineage: Eukaryota; Metazoa; Chordata; Actinopteri; Beloniformes; Adrianichthyidae
Exons: 2
Source: RefSeq, a predicted model, not a curated record
GCCGCUGGUUGAUGUUGGUCAUGGAUUUACUGCAGGGAGGGGCGUCUUCCUGCAGACUCUGCACAGACCGGAUCGGAUUUUAGGAUCUGCUGAUCCAUAGUCCUGAUCCAACACUUUCAUAACAUAAACAUGCAGUGCGUUGUGGGCGGAGUCAUCCUGGCCUGAGUUGAUUGGGUGAACUGAGAUAUUCAGCUUCACAUCAGAGGCGUUUCACUUCCUGGAUCGAGGACGUUUACAGGAAGAGUCACUCAGUCAUGAAGGAGCUCCUCCUGACAUCCAGGGGGCGCUGCAGGAUCCUCCAGACAAGAAGGUUCAGGAACAACCGGACCGUCUCCAGCCGAUCAGUCAAAUGCAGAUUAUUAUUUAAGGUUUGCAUUAUCCACAUUGUCGACUUCUGAGUCAUUUUACUCCUCAGAAACAAUCCACCAGGAAACUGCAGCUGACUCAGAACUCUGCGGCUCGGGUUCUGGUUAAACAGUAGAACCACAUGAGUCCAGUUCUGCGGUCUCUCCACUGGCCACUGGUCUGCCAGAGAACAGUUUGGUUCAGCACCAAAACACACGACCUCCUGACCCAGUAAGAACCAGCAGGACCUCGCCAGUCAUCUGGAUCUUUCAUCAGUUCCUAGAACUACUCAUGGAGAAGCUGCAUUCAGCUUCUAUGCUCCACAGAUCUGGAAGGCCUGAGACUUUGUAUUCAAGUUUCAUGAAAACACUUUCAACUAUCUUUGUACACAAAAUGUUUUAAAAUAGACUCACCUUUUUUACAGAACUCCACUGUAUUUUCAUAUAUCGUUAUAUCUACUAUUAUUAACAACUUUAUAUGUAUAUACGAUUAUAAGAAAUGUUCUUAUUCAGUUAUUUAUUUAUUGUGCUGUUAAAAAAAACGCUCGUCUGGUUGGAUGAUAACUGACUUAAGUUCUGCGUUGUAUCUAAAUACUGUGACAAUAAAGUUUAUUCAAAUCUUA